This is a non-coding RNA of Bactrocera oleae (olive fruit fly), 1224 nucleotides long. Lineage: Eukaryota; Metazoa; Arthropoda; Insecta; Diptera; Tephritidae. The record is from RefSeq and is a predicted model, not a curated record.
GUCACCAGUUCGGAGUCGGUGAAUUCACGAACAAUGGUUGAAGGUUUGUCACCCUUCUGUUCCUGCACCAGUUUGUUGCCCUCCAAAGUAAUGACACUCUUCACUUUACGACCAUCCAGUGUCUCUUCAUCAAAUUCCUUGCCUAGCUUAAAGUUGAUCGACGAUGUCUUGAAGGUUGAGGUAGUGGUGAAAGUGUAGGUCUCACCAUCCUUUUUCAACUCAACGGUGGGACUGACGCUAUUGCCCAUUUUACGCAUCACCAUACCGACACCUGUAAUAUUCAAUGAAAGGUGAAGGUGUUGGAAUAUUAAAAUAGUGCAUUGUGGUUGCGGCAAAAUUUAUGUAGAUCAAUUUCACAACUUUACAUUGUAUGUACAUACAUAUGUAUGUAUGUGCAUUCAAAGAAAUUUGAUAGUAGUGCUAACGCAUUAAAAAAAAAAUUAAUAAAUGUAGCUUAUUCUUAAAUUGUAAGCGGUAUUCUGUCUUCAAGAACUUUGUUCACAUAUCAUUCAACAAACUAUACAUACCUACAUAUAAGUUUGUAAAUACAUACAUUCAGUACAUAUGAAUGUUGCCUACAUAUUGUUAUACAAUAAUAAAAUUAACCCAAAAUUGGCUCCGUUAAAGUUCAAAGCGAUCAAAUCAAAUUCAAUUAUACGUAAUCAGCACGACCAAACGCAUGAAACUACAAAAACCACUUUGGAAAAGGGCGAGUGUCAAGCGCAUACGUACAUUUUUAGCAUAUGUAUAUGCGCCAUGUAUGCAGAUAUGCAUAUGUUUGUAUGUAUGUAUAUGCACAUUGUCCCACAGUAUCACGAAGUACGUACAUACAUGCAUAUGUGCACUUGUUGCAUUAAACGAGAAAUAAUUGAGUGAAAAUGGCGCGGAAUUUCGAUUUCAAUUGAAAAAUACAUUCGCAUGUAUGUAUGUACAUAUGUAUGUGAUUAAAUAUGUUUGUAGACAUCUUAAAAUAAUGAUAUUGGACAAAUUUUUUACCAUUUGAUAAUACGCACGUAUGUAAAUAUUUAUAGAUAUGGGUUACCCCGUUUUUAUACCUUGAAUAGGGUACGAGACUUAGUACGUAAAACUUUUUUAUUUGAAGAUAUAUAUUGAUGAAAUUUGGCAUAAAAUAUUGCCCAAGGCAACGCUACAAUCUACGAAUAAAUUUUUCAGAACCGACCACUAUAGCAUAUAGUAGUUGCGAUAUGAACUGAUCAAAAUUAA